Long non-coding RNA from Rhinolophus ferrumequinum (greater horseshoe bat), 611 nucleotides. RefSeq lists it as uncharacterized. The record is from RefSeq and is a predicted model, not a curated record. NCBI's taxonomy places the organism in Eukaryota, Metazoa, Chordata, Mammalia, Chiroptera, Rhinolophidae. The transcript has 4 exons.
UCCCGCGCCCUUCGCCGGGCGCACGGCGUCGGGUGCCCGCCGGGGCCGGAGCCCCGGGCGGUAGCGGCCGGAGCCCCCGGCAGCAGCGGCUUUGUCUGCCUCCGACGGGGCCCAGGAGAGGCGAGCCCGGGAUCCCCCGGCGCGCCCGCCGUCCAGCCCUCAGAUCUUCGGGAGGACCGGGGCGCGGAGGGGGUGUGAGGGAACCCGAAGGGGCCUGCACGGAGGGGCUGCCGUCAUUUUAGUUCCGCGUUUUCUUAAAGUGUGUCCAGAAUGUAUGGAGCCACUGAACUUUUUUUAAAUGCACAUCUUCUGUGAAAGUAUUAGAACAGCUCAAUUGACAAGACUUUGGAAGAUGGAGGACAGUGGCAGAAGUAGAAAGACAGACCUAACCUGACCCUACACAAUCCAAGGCAUCCAUUUGCUGUGACUGGGAGGGAGCAAGAAGAGCAAAGAAAAAGAAGGAAUUAAUAUUCAGAACUCAGGAACAUACAGACUUGUCCUACCUUCUCCAUGAAAUCAAAAUCAUGAAAUGAAACCUACCCGAGUCGAGCUCCAUGUCGGCGGACGAGGCUGCCGAGUCGCUUUCCUUCUGCUUCUUUGGACUAGUAGGG